This 6374-nucleotide ribosomal RNA is filed under the name Triticum aestivum (bread wheat). RNAcentral's name for it is "partial small subunit ribosomal RNA". The record is from RNAcentral. Lineage: Eukaryota; Viridiplantae; Streptophyta; Magnoliopsida; Poales; Poaceae.
GGCGGAUCACAUCCACCUGACGCACCAGCUCGCCCAUCUUCUUCCUGCCGUUCCCUCGAAAAAAAGAACUUCCUGCCGGCCGCCGCCUCGCGAUCCCAGCUCCAUUCCCACGAACUUUUCGAACUUCCCCUCUCGGUCCAAGCUGAACUCUACCGGCUGCCGCUCCCGACCUCUCACAGGAUACCCAAUUUGAAGCCGCUGGUGCCUGGUGGCACUGCGGGGGCGUAACUCUAUAGCCGAGGCAGCGGCCGCCCAGCCGCCCAGCCGCUCCGUGUACGCGGAGCUUCUACAAUCUGCUGGAAACCCUACAGGGAGAGCAGCUGCGGUGGCUAUGGCGCGGCUCAGUCACCUGUAGGUCCCUACCCCGAGACGUGCGUGAAACCCUAGACUCUUCACUCACUCUCGGGUGGUGGUAGAUGGCGGGGGAGUUGGGUCAGCAGACAGUGGAGCUGGGGACUGUGGCGCGGCAGGCGGCGGAGGAGUCCUACCUGGCGCUGCGUGAGCUCGUGGAGAAGUCGCGGGCGGGCGCCGAGGGGGAGGCAGCGCAGCAGAGGUCGGAUACUGAGAAGAAGAUCGACCUGCUCAAAUUCAUCGACCGCACCCGCCAGCGCAUGCUCCGGCUCCAUGUCCUCGCCAAGUGGUGCCAGCAGGUGCCCUUGCUUCAUUACUGCCAGCAACUUGCGUCAACUCUCUCCAGCCAUGAAACUUGCUUCAUCCAAACAGGCGAUUCACUGUUCUUUAUGCAUGAAGGAUUGCAGCAAGCUCGUGCUCCCAUUUUUGAUGUUUCAUCUGCGAUAGAAGUCAUACAUACAGGGAGCUAUAGGAGAUUGCCUAAAUCUGUAGAGGAAAUAGGUACUCAGAAUACACUUUUUCAAGAUGAGCGGAAGCCUACAUUGAAGAAAUUAAGCACCCUUGUGCGGGCAAAAUUACUUGAAACCCUAGUUCCUAAAGAAAUGUCUGAGGUUUCGGUGACUGAUGGAAUAGCCAAUGUACAGGUAGAUGGCGAAUUCAAAGUACUCCUUACGUUAGGUUACCGUGGGCACUUCUCGCUGUGGAGGAUAUUGCAUAUUGAGUUACUUGUUGGUGAGAACACCGGGCCUAUUAAGCUUGAAGAGACAAGAAGGUAUGUUCUGGGUGAUGACAUCGAACGGAGAAUGGCUGUGGCUGACAAUCCCCUCACAAUUUUGUAUACAAUUCUCCAUGAGCUAUGCAUCUCUUUUGUUAUGGAUACCGUAAUUAGACAGACUAAUGUUCUACGACAAGGUAGAUGGAAAGAGGCAAUAAAAUCUGAACUUGUCUCGGAUAGUCAUAGAAGUGCAGGACAAGGUGGGAAUAAUGCUCCAACGCAGCUUGGUCAAGAUGGAGAGCUCGAUUCAAGUGGGUUCAGGAUACCUGGUUUGAAAAUAAAUUAUUGGCUGGAUGAAAGAAACAGUGGGUCAGCAGAAUCUGAUUCAUCUCCAUUUAUUAAAGUUGAGGCACUGCAAGAUAUGCAGAUAAAGUGUCAGCACAGUUCAUUUGUAUUGGAUCCACUUACAGAUAAAGAAGCUGAUCUUUCUCUUGAUCUGAGCUGCAUUGAUGUUGAGGCAAUCAUUUUGAAAGCAAUUGCUUGCAAUAGACACACACGUCUUCUGGAAAUUCAGAGGGAGUUGAAAAAAAAUACUCGGAUUUCUCGAUCCCCAACUGAUGUUGUCCUGAAACGGAAAGAAGUUCAUAUGGACGUCCUGCAAAAGAGAGUGGAUAGAAGGGGCUUCGAGAAUUGUUGUACAAAUGAAGUGCUUCAGGUUAGGGCAUAUGGAAAAUCGUAUAUUCACCUGGGAAUAAAUAUCAGGAGUGGUGGCUUUCUCCUGCAAUCACCAAAAAAUAUAUUACCACCUUCUGCGGUAUUAGACUCUGAAGAAGCCCUUAAUAAACGGAGCAUAACACCCACUGAGGUCUUCGUGAGCUUAAAGACCAGAAGCAUCCUUCAGUUGUUUGCUGCGACAGGAAGGUUUUUGGGCCUGAAGGUUUACUCCGAGUGUCAGAUUACUCUGAAGAUACCAAAAUCCAUACUGUAUGGUUCAGAUUUUAUGGUUAUGGGAUUUCCUUGGCGUACAAAUGCCUAUUAUCUUCUGAUGCAACUUGAUGACAACCUCAUGCCGGUUUUUUAUUUGCUUGAGGUGCAUAUUGACGGAGAAGACAGGUCUAACAUUGAUACAACCACUGACGCUAAAGAAGUUGUAAGGUUUAACAGAAUUGACAUUGGCCAGAUGCAACUAGGUGAAGAUGAAUGCAUUGCAAAUCUUCUCGAUGUAGAGAAAUUGCAGGUGCUACAAAGCAUGGAAGAUGGGUCUCCCGGGCAUAGUGAAAUUGAUGAGUCUCUUCCUCUAAAGCCUUCAUUUUCUUCUGUUGUUAACGCAGUAUUAGGAUAUGAGCGAGAUUCUCCAAGUAAGGAAAAUUGGCUGUCUUAUAGUUCGCCCUCAACUCAUUUGAGUUCUCAAAAAGUUGGCCGUCAGGGGGUUAGCAGUAGAGCUGGCCCACCUGAACUGGAUGACGAGUUACUACAUUCUAACAUUGACACAGCAAAAGUCGCUUCUGGUGUCACUUUGGACAGUUAUCUGCUGAGUAAUUCGAAGUCUGCAAAUAGUACAGAGACCUCCGUUUCGGUCCCUGCAGGUUUGGAGAAUAUCUCCGCUUUACGCUCUGAAGUUCCAUCUGGAAAGAGAUAUCUUUCAGAGUUCUUGUUGAACAUCCCAUCAUUACAGCGAUCAAUAAUCAGUGGUGGGCCAAGAAAGAGAAGAAAACUGCCAGAAGAUGCAAGCAGCGUGCAAUCUCGAACAACCCUCACCUAUGGAACUAUACUGAGAGAAGGAAAUUGUUGUAUUACAGAAAAUAUAUAUGCUUCUGUGCUUCUUCAAGUCAUAAAGCAUUGUUCGCUUCGUAUCAAAUAUGCUCAACUGACUACCCAGAUGAAUUCUCUUAACAUUCCAUAUGUAGAAGAAGUUGGUCUGGGGACACCCUCCUCUAAUCUUUGGUUACGGCUACCUUUUGCUCAAGAUGGUUCUUGGAAACACACAUGCUUACGUCUCGGUGAAGCUGGAAGCAUGUCAUGGGGUGUUAGGAUCAACGAUCCAUAUUAUGGUGCACUGUGGGAACUUCAUGGAGGCAGCAAUACUACAGAAUGGGGUUCUCAUGUUCGCAUUGCAAACACUUCUGAGAUGGAUUCACACAUCUCUUUUGACUAUGAUGGGGUCACCUUGACUUACAACUCUGUUGAGGCUGAUAGUAUACAGCGGCUUGUCUCAGAAUUACGACGACUUUCAAAUGCUCGUGUAUUUGCUUGUGGAAUGCGGAGGUUGGUUCGUAUUAAAGUAGAUGAGAAAUUAGUUGAGAAUCAGUUAGCUACAAAGGCAAAGUUACAUGCAAGAAAAGGUUUCAGGAACAGGUUAUCGGACCAGAUGGCUAAAAAUUUCCGGAUUAACGCUGUUGGUUUGAUGAACUUGUGGUUCAGUUAUGGUGCCAAUGCCAUGCCCAUGGUUCACUUUGUUGUCGAGUGGGAUGCCAGUAAGGCUGGUUGCACAAUGCGUAUUUCACCAGAUCAUCUUUGGCCACACACAAAGUUUUUGGAGGAUUUUGUGAAUUGCAAUGAGGUAGCAUCAUUUUUGGAUUGUAUCAGACUGACAGCAGGUCCUUUACUUUCCCUUGGUGGUGCAAUUCGUCCUGCAAAGAUGCCUGCUGUCCCUGCUGUUUGCGGUUCUGCACAAAAGCAAAACAAUGUUCUUUUGGCAAAUGGUUCAUCAUCAACUACUGUGCAUAUAAACAGUCAUGAUGCUCAGACUUCCUCUAUGCUCUCUGCUGUAGGCUGGACUGGUCAUGGACUAGUUCCUAGUUCUUUGAUGCCUUUUGAUGUUUCUGUUGUGCUCCGUGGGCCAUACUGGAUACGCAUUAUAUAUCGCAAUAAGUUCUCUGUUGACAUGCGCUGCUUUGCUGGGGAUCAGGUCUGGCUGCAGCCAGCAACCCCUCCAAAAGGUGGGCCUUCAAUUGGUGGAUCUUUACCUUGUCCACAAUUUCGACCAUUCAUAAUGGAACAUGUUGCUCAGGGUCUAAAUACUCUUGAGCCGAGCUUUCUGAAUGCUAGACAUACUAGUGCCAAUACUUCAUCUGGAAGUCAACAGAUAGCAGCUAGUGUGAGUAGAGCAGGCAAUGCCACGCUACCUUCAGGAGACGGAGCUCCUGCACACCUUUCUCCUGACACUAACCUUCCUGUGCAUAUGAAAGGAGAAUUGAACACAGCUUUUAUCGGGCUUGGAGAUGAUGGUGGCUAUGGUGGUGGCUGGGUCCCUCAUGCUGCUCUUAAGAAGGUGUUGCGAGGCAUUCUCAAGUACCUUGGAGUUCUAUGGUUGUUUGCGCAAUUGCGUGAUAUUCUGAAAGAUAUAUUGGGGUCAGUUUUGAAAGAUAAUGAAGGUGCACUUCUGAAUUUGGAUCAAGAACAGCCAGCGUUGCGCUUCUUUGUGGGUGGUUAUGUCUUUGCAGUUAGUGUUCAGCGAGUUCAACUGCACCUUCAAGUUCUUAAUGUGAAGCGGUUUCACCACCAGCAACAGCAACAGCAAGCUCCUCAGAGCAGUGCUCAGGGAGAGCUAACACCAUCUGAGAUACAUGAGAUAUGCGAUUACUUUAGCAGAUGUGUUGUCUGUGAACCUUAUGAUGCUUCUAGGAUUGCUUCUUUUAUCAUGUUGCUUACUCUGCCCAUUUCAGUUAUACAAGAAUUUGUAAAACUAAUUACAUGGAAUAAAAGCUUGUCCGAGGCUCAUGGGGACAUCGCUGCUGCAGAGCGGGCACGGGCUGAACUUUGUUUGGAAAAGCAUCCAAGAUCAGUUUCAGAUGAUUAUACUGAACCUUCUUUAUUAUCCAAGAGUAAUAUUCAGCAUGACAGAGCCAACAAUUCAGUAGAUUUUACCCUAACUUUUGUGCUUGACCAUAAUCUUACACCACAUGUGAGGACAUCUGGUGGAGCUGCUUGGUUACCAUUUUGUGUUUCUCUGAGAUUAAGGUACACCUUUGGGGAUACUAGUCAUAUCGCAUACCUUGCAAUGGAUGGCAGCCAUGGUGGUAGAUCUUGCUGGUUGCAACACGAGGAUUGGGAGAGGUGUAAGCAGAGUGUUGUUAAAGCAGUGAAGAUGGUGAAUGGAUCGCCAGCAGGUGGAGAGACAAGCCGAGGAAGGCUGCAAAUGGUUGCUGAAAUGGUCCAAAAGCAACUGCAACUGUGCCUAGUGCAUUUAAGAGAUGGCUCGCUUUCUGCUGGCUCAACUCGACCAUGAAAUGCAUAUUUUGAAUUCUUGUAGCCAGACUAUGAGUUGUGUUUCUGGUAGUUGCUGACUUGCUCACUACUGAAUAAGUCACUAGAUGUUUGAUAAUAUGGUGGCUGACAUACUGGUGUUUUCAGCUGAGGGCUCAUGAUGUUCCAGUUAUUGGUUACUGGUACUCUAUGGUGACUCAUUGUUUGUUUUGUACAGCUCACCUUUGUAGCUAGUGUGCUGCUGAUUAGACCUUAGAACCCCUGAAAAGCAUGUUUGUGGAAGAUGUACAUCUCAGCUCUCAGGACAACAAGCAGCAGCCUGUGUUGCCCACUGUCCCUCUCUGCAGUAGCAAUGUCCCCAUGAACCUUAGAACCCAGACACAGAGGACUUGCCUAGUCUUUGCUUUGGCAGGAAUUGGAUUUAGAUUUGAGAUGCAGGGGAGGCGUGACGCGGACUGCGAUGGAGCUUGCAAAGUGUUAGGGGGUAGGGUCGAACACUCGGUGUAUGCCAGAAUCUGACACAGGCUAUGGCAGAGCUGAAAAGGGAACACAGUGGAAAGUUUUGGUUUCACUUCAUGGUCUCCGACUCUGGUCUUCCCCUAAUGUUUCCUCUCUUCCAUGAAAUCGACCCCGGUGAACUGUUGAAAACCUUGUAGAUUUGAAGGUGUCUGCUUGGUUUGAUACCCACAAGGAAGGCACAACGGCUAUGUUUGGUUUGAUCACCGAUAUGCAUGUGAUGGUAGACUUGUUUCGAAGAUGCAAACUUAUGUUGCAUGUAUUGUUGACAAUUCAGAAAGAGUGGAGAUAAAUUCCCAUUUUUUUCUUGGAUAUAUUGUUUCCUAAGGUGCAGGCUGUUCUGCAAGCUUGGUUUGGCUGUGAGUGCUUAGAUUCAGACUACCCAUAUGGGAGUUACUUAGACUAAUAACAUGCAUAUGUUACUAGUCUAUGUUACUAUGAGAGUAACAUAUUUGUGGUGUCAUGCAACCAUUUAUUUAUUAGCUUAUAGACAUAUUUUGUCUUCAUAUGUGUGAUUUUACCCAUAGUGUUAUUAACUCGGUGUUGAGGUUUUUCUUUUCUUCGAAAAGGACUCAAAUUUAUUACU